This 420-nucleotide RNase P RNA is filed under the name Erythrobacter sp. RNAcentral's name for it is "RNase P RNA component class A". It matches the Rfam family "Bacterial RNase P class A". From Rfam's summary of the family: Ribonuclease P (RNase P) is a ubiquitous endoribonuclease, found in archaea, bacteria and eukarya as well as chloroplasts and mitochondria. The record is from RNAcentral. Lineage: Bacteria; Pseudomonadati; Pseudomonadota; Alphaproteobacteria; Sphingomonadales; Erythrobacteraceae. RNAcentral also lists the same sequence under 1 other name.
CCAGGGGGCCGGGCAGCCGCGGCAUUACGACGUCGAGGAAAGUCCGGGCUCCACGAAACGAGGGUGGCGGGUAACGCCCGCCAGAGGCAACUCUAGGGAAAGUGCCACAGAGAGCAUACCGCCGAUGGCCGGCUUCGCGCCGGCACAGGCAAGGGUGAAAGGGUGCGGUAAGAGCGCACCGGGGCUUCGGCAACGCGGCCCGCAUGGUAAACCCCACCCGGAGCAAGGCCGAAUAGGGGCGGCGCGCCGGCUCGUCCGGCAGGGGUGUUUCGCCCCUGGCUCGCGCUGCGACCGCCCGGGUUGGCUGCUUGAGCCGCGGAGCGAUCCGCGGCCCAGACGAAUGGCUGCCGCCGCAGAUACGGUCCGCCCGUCGGAUACCGUCUGCGGAUACAGAACCCGGCUUACAGGCCCCCUGGCACC